Tympanuchus pallidicinctus (lesser prairie-chicken) is the source of this 1940-nucleotide long non-coding RNA. RefSeq lists it as uncharacterized. The record is from RefSeq and is a predicted model, not a curated record. NCBI's taxonomy places the organism in Eukaryota, Metazoa, Chordata, Aves, Galliformes, Phasianidae. The transcript is spliced from 7 exons.
UCUCCUUAGGAGUUAUGCAGCAAGUCCAGGAUAAAGAUUAUUUCAUGUAUAUGACAUAAUGUCAGGAAAGUCAUGGAAAUGAAUAAGGGAGAGAUGUGCAGAUAAAGAAUGGAGGCUGUUCAAAAUGGUACUGCUGACAGUAGGGAGAUAGACAAUGUUCGUGAACUUUUCAGAAUGGAGUAUAGCUCUCUUAUGUUUGCAAAGAACAAUGUUGUCUGUUGGCCUGUUUUUGAUAUGUAGCAAUGAAGCACCUGAAGGAAAGCAAAUUGAAGAUCCACUUGGAAUCUGAGCCCUUAUGAAAAUGUCCUGUUUUGUACAAAUAAUCACAAGCCCAAUUUCAAAUUCAUCUUUACAUUGGACUUGUUGUUAAGAAUGCUCUUAUUAUUAAAUGAGGAUUGUCUUAUCCAUUUUUUCUUAAUAAUUUCAUUGCACUUCUUUAUUUUUUAAACUUAAAAUGAUGCUGUAUUUCUUAGAUAAAGAAGCAAACAAAUUCAUAUAUGCAAAUAUGUCACAAAUCUAACAAAUGCUACAGAUUAUACAACUGCCCUGUUAUUACGUCCAUAACUUUAAAGCCUUUGCUUUGGUACAAAUGAACUGGUAGCAGGAGAAGUUGUGUCAGGUUGUCAUUGACUGCUAAGAAUAACUGCAUAAUUGCACAUUUUAUUCUAUUCAGAUAACGAUGUCUUUGAAUUAUCCAUUUUUUCCAGGCGAAUUUAAAAAGUGUAGGAAGGAAAACAUGAAAAUAUACUGCCUUUUGAAGCAAGUUAGUAGUAAAAAUGAAGUAGCAAAAUAUUUCCCUUUUCCCUGCUGGCUUGUAACUAAUGAACAAAUGACUAGUUAAUAUCAUUAACUAGGGAAAAAAUAGCCUCAGUUCUUCUUAGAGUAUAAAAUGGUUGAAUUGGGAAUUGUGGACAGACCAGCCAUCACUACUUUACCUAAAAGUUGUUGUGGUGAAGCUUGGAACCCUGUCACAUUGGUAUGUGUACAAACAUGCAGUCUCCCAUCCUGAGAAGGAUCAAAAUAACUCUGCAACUGCGAAAGGAGAGACAGUUCUUCCCCUUAAUUUACAUACAUGAAACCGAGAACAAGGUCAGAAAGAAAUAGAAUAAUGAAAGUGUCAUGGACUGACACUGCAUCAGAUUAUGUAACUGUAAAAUUUUACAUGCUUCACAGUGAAGGAAUUUACCAAUUUUUAAUUUAAAAUGAUUGAGAAAUGUGAGAGAAAUAGUUCAGAGUGAAAAUGGUGGUUCAUAUGCUUUCAUGUUUCUUUAUAUCUCCAAAUUGUUUGAUGCCUCUGUGUAACGAAGCAGAAGACUUCUUGGCUGCCAGUGAUAUCCUAAGAUUGUUCAGCACUGUCUUAUCCAUCAGUUUGUCAAAAACCUUUUGUAACAGUUAAAUAAAUGAAUAAAAUGACAUAAAUUAGGAGUAAAAAUUAUAAGGAAAUAUUUUGCAUAGCGCAUAGAUUCACCAAUAGGACAUGAAGUUACUGCAGUUAUUUUCAUAAAGCUGUUAAAAGCACAGUACCUAUUUUAUUUAAGAGCAUGGAUUUGAAGUAAGAAAAUCAUGAAUGGAAGCCUGUCAGCCCUGACACUCUGUGUCCUUGGGAGAAGGCAGUGCGACCAACCCUGGUAUGACAUCACCUGAGUACCAGAUGCAAGACCACAGUAGAUGGGGUAGGAAAUUGUGGGAAAUAACGUCAAAUCUGUUGAUCUGCUAAUGUGUACAUACUUAAAUAUAUGUAACAUCUCUUUGCCUUUCUGUCAGACAAUUUAAAUGUGAUUGUCUCUAUCUCCUACACUUUCACUUUAAAAAACAAUGUGUUCUGGAAUGCUUUGUCUGCUUAAGUUUAAAUGACUACUGGCACUUUCAUGGGAAGUCUUAUCUGAUCCUCAGCUCAGUUUUCUUCUCUCAGCUGGUCAUAAAACUACCCAUCAAGCUCA